Molecule: RNA transcript, 1263 nt
Organism: Gordionus sp. m RMFG-2023
Lineage: Eukaryota; Metazoa; Nematomorpha; Gordioida; Chordodea; Parachordodidae
Gene name: all trans-polyprenyl-diphosphate synthase PDSS1-like
Exons: 7
Source: RefSeq, a predicted model, not a curated record
UAAAGUUUUGUAACAUGAUAACUUUAAAAGAUGCGAAAUCAUGUUAAGUCAUCGAUGCUACAUUUUUCAAGCAUUAUCCUUUUUCGGAAUUAUAAAUAUUCGUUAUAUAAAUUAACUCGAUAUUCUCAUAGUGGACUGUCGGGAAAUUUACUAAGUCGAAGAAAAAUAUCAUAUAUAUCAGAAAAAUUGAAUGAAAAUAUAUUAAAUAAUUCAAAACAAAAUUUAUUGAAUAAGGAUGUGAAAUUUAUAAGUGAAAAUAUUAUUAAAUUAAUUGCUAGUUAUGGAUCUCCAGAUGUACUACCUCUAGCUAAUUAUUAUUUUAAUGCAAAAGGAAAGUCCAUUCGCCCAGCAAUAAUUUGUAUGAUAGCAAGAGCAUCAAAUAUAUUGUUUAAAGAAACUACUUCACCAACUAACAAAACCUAUAUAGAUUCAAAUCAACUAAAAAUUGCUUGUUUUGCUGAAAUGAUUCAUACAGCAUCUUUACUUCAUGAUGAUGUUGUAGAUCGAGCCAAUACAAGGAGAGGUAAUAUAAGUGCAAAUAUUAAAUGGGGCCAGAGAAAGCCUGUAUUAGUUGGAAAUCUUAUAAUGGCUCUAGCUAGUCAAGAGUUAGCCAAAAUUAAAAAUGUACAAAUUAUUAACAUUUUAUCUAUUAUAUUAAUGGAUUUGAUUCAUGGGGAACUAAUGCAAAUGGGUUCAAAACUUACAGAUAAUGAAAGAUUUUCUCAUUAUCUUCAGAAGACAUUUAAAAAAGCUGGUAGCCUCUUAGCAAAUUCAUGCAAAUGUGUUGCUCUUUUAUCAUUAGAAAACAAGGAAUAUCGAAAUAAUGAAUCUGUGGAUCGUAAACUAAAUUUGUUUUACAAAUUUGGAAAACAUAUUGGCAUGGCAUUUCAAAUUCGUGAUGAUAUACUUGAUUUUACAGGAGAUAUGGAUAAAACUGGCAAAAAUUGUGGUAACAAGGAUAUAGCAAUAUCUGGAUUAGCUAACGCACCUUUAUUAUUUGCCUGUGAAAAACAAAUUUUGUUUGAUAUAUUUAUAUUUUACAGUUUCCAUACAUUGAAGCAAUAAUUAUGCGAAGAUUUUCAGAACCUGGAGAUGUUGAAAAAGCAUUAGAAGCGAUUAAAAAGAGUGACGGUUUAAAAGACACGCAAAAUUUAGUCUUAUUCCACGCCGGUCAUGCUAAAAAUAUACUUGACGAACUUUUCCUGCCUUUAUCUAAAACAGAUUUUGAUUUGUUAAAUUUAUAUAAUUCUCUUAUUUCUAUGU